UACGUAGGUGGCGAGCGUUGUUCGGAUUUAUUGGGCGUAAAGGGUUCGUAGGAGGUUGGGUAAAUUUGACGUGAAAUCCCGGAGCUCAACUCUGGAACUGCGUUGGAGACUGCCCGACUAGAGGAUUGGAGAGGUAAGCGGAAUACCAGGUGUAGCGGUGGAAUGCGUAGAUAUCUGGUAGAACACCAAAAGCGAAGGCAGCUUACUGGACAAUAACUGACUCUGAAGGACGAAAGCGUGGGGAGCAAACAGGAUUAGAUACCCUGGUAGUCCACGCCCUAAACGAUGUCAACUGGAUGUUGGGCGGGUUAAACCGCUUAGUGUCGUAGCUAACGCGUGAAGUUGACCGCCUGGGGAGUACGGCCGCAAGGCUAAA
RNAcentral lists this ribosomal RNA (376 nucleotides) under uncultured bacterium. Its description in RNAcentral is "bacterial SSU rRNA". It matches the Rfam family "Bacterial small subunit ribosomal RNA", at positions 524 to 898 of the family's 1533-position model. The record is from RNAcentral.